Molecule: ribosomal RNA, 253 nt
Filed under: uncultured bacterium
Lineage: Bacteria
Description: partial 16S ribosomal RNA
Rfam family: Bacterial small subunit ribosomal RNA
Source: RNAcentral
UACGGAGGGUGCAAGCGUUGUUCGGAUUCACUGGGUAUAAAGGGUGCGCAGGCGGCCUGUUAAGUCAGGGGUGAAAUAUGACGGCUCAACCGUCAAACUGCCCCUGAAACUGAUAGGCUUGAGUUCGAGAGAGGUAAGUGGAAUUCCAGGUGUAGCGGUGGAAUGCGUAAAUAUCUGGAGGAACACCAGUGGCGAAGGCGGCUUACUGGCUCGAUACUGACGCUCAGGCACGAAAGCAUGGGGAGCGAACGGG